GAUGAACGCUGGCGGCGUGCCUAAUACAUGCAAGUCGAGCGAACAGACGAGGAGCUUGCUCCUCUGACGUUAGCGGCGGACGGGUGAGUAACACGUGGAUAACCUACCUAUAAGACUGGGAUAACUUCGGGAAACCGGAGCUAAUACCGGAUAAAAUAUUGAACCGCAUGGUUCAAUAGUGAAAGACGGUUUUGCUGUCACUUAUAGAUGGAUCCGCGCCGCAUUAGCUAGUUGGUAAGGUAACGGCUUACCAAGGCAACGAUGCGUAGCCGACCUGAGAGGGUGAUCGGCCACCCUGGAACUGAGACACGGUCCAGACUCCUACGGGAGGCAGCAGUAGGGAAUCUUCCGCAAUGGGCGAAAGCCUGACGGAGCAACGCCGCGUGAGUGAUGAAGGUCUUCGGAUCGUAAAACUCUGUUAUUAGGGAAGAACAAAUGUGUAAGUAACUAUGCACGUCUUGACGGUACCUAAUCAGAAAGCCACGGCUAACUACGUG
RNAcentral lists this ribosomal RNA (497 nucleotides) under uncultured bacterium. Its description in RNAcentral is "partial 16S ribosomal RNA". It matches the Rfam family "Bacterial small subunit ribosomal RNA", at positions 28 to 507 of the family's 1533-position model. The record is from RNAcentral.